Long non-coding RNA from Alligator mississippiensis (American alligator), 7394 nucleotides. RefSeq lists it as uncharacterized. The transcript has 3 exons. NCBI's taxonomy places the organism in Eukaryota, Metazoa, Chordata, Crocodylia, Alligatoridae. The record is from RefSeq and is a predicted model, not a curated record.
UGCAAAGGAACCGUAGGGCAGCCCAGCCUCAGGCUCGUAGCGGUUGCAGCCAGAAGAGCCUGGUAGCUGUGAAAGGUGUGGGGCCACUUGUCCCUUGUGCCGAGCACGAGCUUGCGUUCACCUCUGGCAGCUACGGCCGCUGCUCAGCGUGGGUGGGCACACGUAGAGGAGGCGCCGUGCAGUUUGGGGUUUGGGCCGUGUGCACGGGUUCUGGCUGGGCUGGUGCUCGUCCACUCUGCCGGGCCUAGUCCUGAGCGGGCACUGGCUGGAUGGAGUUGGAGCUGUGCGUGUGGGUCCCUGCCAGUAGCUUGGGUUUGGGGCAGUGGCGGCAGAAACUGAAAGCAGCUUUCUUUGCCUGCGCAGCCUGGGGAGGCAGUUCAGGCGCACCCCGCUGCAUGCCCAGAGGCAGCGGGAUGCACCAGAGGCUAGACAGUGAUUGGGCAAGACAGGAUUGAGGUACCUGCCAAGGGGCAGACUGAGUCCCUCCAUGGGCCACAUCUGCCCAUGCUACUCAUGGUGUUUCAUAUGGAACAGGUUUUAGGAGCAGAGUAUCUGGAAGGAGGACUACUGUUGUAAAACUGUCCGUCUCCCUGCAGCUGUCUCCCCACACGGAUUUGUGGCGCUGAGCAGCCGUAAUAUGCUGGUGCCCUGCCCAUGGCGUUUUCCCUCCCCCCUCAAGGCCAGUGCCCCUCGCUCCCCUUUUCUAUGCUGAUGCUGAAACCUGUCUAGAGAGCAGGUUGCAAAGCACCACACUUUCAUUUUUUAAGCAGAAAAAGAAAUGAAAAAACCUGUUGUUGUUCAGGAAGCACCGCAGGACAUCAGUUCAACUUCAGGGGAGUUUGAGAUGUGUGGUAUACAGAUUCUCACCUGUGCAGGAGGGAGGAGGAGGCUAACAGCAGAUUGUCUCCACUUUGCAAAUGUCUUUUAAAGCUUUCCUCUGUUCACAUCGAAUGUUUACGUGUGGUUUUUGCUUUGUUUUUUAAAUGGAUAUUCCGAUACGUGUCAAGCAGAUUGGCGUCGCUGGAAGUUUGGGAAUGGGAGCGAAUCCGUUUUCCAGCGGACUUGGGAGAUGUCAAUGAGCGGGGGCCCGUGUCCCUGGAAAAAAUACAACUCUGGAAGGGAAGAGCACUGCUCAUCUCUUUCCCUGCCCACCUGGGAAUGCUCCUUGUCCUGUUUUGUUUCUUUUACUCUGCUGUCUAGACCGAUUUUUAAUUUACAAAGGUUCACAAAACCAAAAAUCAGUUGGUAUUUUAAGCUGCUUUUUUCCCACCUUUUCAGGAAGCAGUUACUCAUCUUUGGUCUUGCCUGGUAUUGAAGGCUGGAGAAACAGAUUCUUAUUGUACUUUCUCAGGCCAUUGCUUGUGAUGUAAAUGCAGGCUUAUUACUUGUUAACAGUUGCAAAGAGCAUGUUCAUCUAACACAGGAGGUACAUGGUCCCACUAGGGACCUCUUACUGGACUUGGUGCUGGCGACAGGGGAUGACCUGGUAGGGAAUUGACUGACUCGAGGUAACCUAGGGGACAGUGACCAUCCAUUGAUUGGAUUCACUAUCUGGCACAGGGUGGGAAAAAUAACCAGUAGGGUAGGAGUGCUAGACUUCAGUGUGGUCAGGAGAUUAGUUAGCGAGGCGCUGAAGGACAAGAGCACUGGUAAGAUGGGAGUCCAGGAAUGGGAGUUGUUCCUAAAGGGAGCAAUCCUACAGGUGUAGGAGAAGAUGAUCCCGUUGCACAGGAGAGGGGAAAGAGGGGCCAAGAAACCCUCUUGGCUGAACAGCAAAAUGCAGGAAAACCUAGGGGCAAAAAAGAGGCAUAUAGACAGUGGAAGCAUGUGAGAUUUACCAAGGUGGAGUAUACCUACUUGGCCUGCACUUGCAGGGAGGCAGUUAGAAAGGGUGAAGCAGAAAUGGAGCUUGGGCUGGCAACAAAAAUUAAAAACAAGUAAAGUCUUUCUUUAGGUGUAUAAGGAGUAAAAAGAAGGUGCCAUGGUAGCAUAGGAACCCUACAGGACAAACUAGGGUAAAUAGUGAUAGGUGGGGUGAGCGGGGCAAGGUUGAGCUCUUCAGUGAGUUUUUUGCUUCUGUAUUCCUGAACAUGGAACAGGACAAGUCUCCCAGUUGGAUGCUAGACAGGCAUAAAAGGGACAUCAGCCCACCAAGUGUUUGUGCCAACUUGGUGAAGAGGCACUUGGAAAGACUGGGUGUGUUUAAGUCAGCAGACCCACGUGAUCUUCAUCCAAGGGUGCCAAAGGAUUUGGCAGCAUUAUAGGAGAGCCCCGACACAGCUGUUUGAGCACUCGUGGCACUCGGGUCAGGUCCCAGAGGGCUGGAAAAGGGCCAGUGCGGUCCCUACCUUUAAGAAAGGAAAGGAGGAUCCGGGUAACUAGACACCAGUUAGUCUCACUUCUAUUCUGAGGAAAACCUUUGAAAACAUUAAGGAUCACAUUUGUGGGAGUCCUGGAAGGUGGGGGGAUGCUGAAGGGCAGUGAGCACAUAUUCAUAGCAGGUAGAUCCUGCCUGACUAACCUUGUUUCUUUUUAUGACCAGGUCACAAAAUGCUUACACAGAGGAAUUGAGGUAGAUGUCAUCUACUUGCAUUUUAAGAAGGCCUUCAAUAUGGUAUCUCAUUCUAAUGUCAUUAAUAAACUGAGCCGCUGUCACGUAGAUGAUUACACGAUCAGGUGGGUGGCAAAAUGGCUCAGCGUCAUACCCAGAGAAUAGCGGUGGAUGGGUCGGUAUCGACCUGGAAAGAUGUGGGCAGUGGAGUCUGACAAGGCUCGGUCCUUCGACCUGUGCUGUUUAAUGUCUUCGUGAGUCACUUGGAUGAGGGCAUGGAAAGCACUCUGUCCAAAUAUGCAGAUGAUACCAAAUUUAUGGGUAACGUUAACAUGCUAAAGCAGAGGUCCUCAAACUGUGGUCUCUGGACCAGCGCUGGUCCACAAGCUCCAUGUAGGUGGUCCUCAGAAAGGUUGCAGAACAAUUGAGAAUCUCUGCAUUUGGCCCUGCAGUUGAUUACUUUUUUUUCCGGUGACGGAGAUUAAGCGGUCCGCUGAGACCCUCGGCAAUUUUCAAGCGGUCCGUGCAAAACAAAGUUUGAGAGCCGGUGCGCUAGAGGGUUGGGACCAAAUCUGUGGGCACCUGGGCAGGUUGGAAAAAUGGGCAGACCAGAAUAGGAUGCAGUUGAACAAAGACAAGUGCAAAGUGCUGCACCUAGGGAGAAGGAAUCACCGGCACGCUUACAGGCUGCGGGAGGGCUUUCUCAGCAUCAGAGCAGCGGAAAGGGAUCUCGGAGUCAGCGUUGAUACCGAGAUGAGUGUGAGUUGUCAACGUGACAAAGCGAUUGGUAAAGCUAACUGCACUUUAUCAUGUGUUCGCAGGUGCAGGACAAACAGGUCCAGGGAGGUGAUGCUUACCCUCUACGCGACAUUGGUCGAGCUGCAGUUGGAGUACUCUGUCCGGUUUUGGACGCCACACUUCAAGAGGGAUGUGGACAACCUUGUGAGGGUUCAGAGGAGGGCAAAAGCUAGUCCUUGCGCUCCUGUCGUUGGAACCAGCUUAUCGGCGAGGAAGCGCAGCGUGACAUUCGGAACCAAAAGGCCCGGAGUAGAAGGGCCCCCGACAUCCGUCGCAUCUGCAACGGGUCCCUGCGUGAGCUACUGAGAAACGAGCGUUUGGGGCCCGCACCGGUCUCUCGGAAACAUCCGAGCCAGCCCUGGCAGCAGGUGCCUGCGCGUUCCUGCCUCGUACGCGGUCAGGGAACGCUACGCACCAGCAGUUGCCUCGGCUUCUGACCGGACGCACGCCGUUUGCUUGCAAGCAUCCAAAGCUAGCACCUCCAGCGGCUGCAGCUGUUGCUUCCCAACUACUAGGAGAGCCUUGCAAAAGCAAUGGCCUGCCCCUGGGCCAGGCUGAUACCAGUGGCUCAGACCCAGAGACUUGCUGUUGUACCUCCCGGUGUCUGGAUUAGGUGUCGAGCGCUUGGAACUCUGGCAGCUUCAGCACAUAUUAACCUCUCGUCCUCCUGUGGCCAACACCACGGAGCCCGUGACCCUAAUGUUUCUGUCAGCCUCUGUCCCACCCUUCCCCUGAAGGCCUCCCGUGAAAUCCCGUGUCCCAUCACAGUCUGCAGGUUGGCUCCAGCGGUAUUUCCCAGCUGCACGUGGAGAGUUGCAAGGGAGUGUCAGCGAGGAGCUGCAGCGUGAAAGAAGUGGGACUUGGAAAUAUCCAAGGGACCACGGGUAACAGGUGAGUGUGAGUUUCUGCCUUAAACACUCUGAUGGGGUAAAAUGCACCCGCAGCUGCUUACGCUUCUGCCUGGAGGUGCAUCAUCUGCGUGUCACUCCCCAUUUAUGGGGGCCUCAAUUCACCUCCUUCCGCCGCACCUGAUUUACAUGUGGGGACCCACUCUUCAGCCUGUGGGCAGGCAUGUACCUGUGUACAUGGUCACAUGCACAUAGCACCCCUUUGUGACCCCUCCUCCUGUUUCCCUGAGCACCUUGCAGGAUGGAAGUCUGGCAGCCUGCAAGGAGAAACCCACCAUUGGUCAUGCUGUUCCCCUUUAGAGGUGAAAAUCUGGAUUUUUCUCAUUUAAAGGAGAAAAUCUGGGGGCGCUGGGUAUCAGCAAAUAAAAACCUAGGUUUCCGGACUAGCCCAGGGAUUGACACGACACUCGGUUCUAGGAGUGACGGAAAGGCUUUAUUUACUACAAGUAUUUAAGAUCAAGUCAGGCAAAUCCAAACCAAAUCAAAGUCCAGUAAUUAGCUGUAAGGUGAAGAUUUCUCGCCAAACAGGCGACAAAGAGGCGGUCUGUUUCCCUUCACCUUGUAGAGUAAGUUGGGUGCGUCGGCAAGCCGUGUCAGAGAGAUUUUUCACUCCUGAAGCGUGCGUGUGCUGUGUGCUGUUUUACUUUUUAUCCCCUUACUUUAGCAUCUUCAAAGCAUUCUUUUAGUUGUGUAAAUUAAGAUGGAGUCCCAAACAGUAACCGACAGGAAAAACCUGCCAAGUACCGGUUAUCAGAAAUUUCUAAUGCGAACGAGUUAGCUUCUUCGGUAACGAGAGGUUAUUCAGUUUGGAACGUAUCGAGAAACCGAUUAACUGCUAGGAAAAACAUACUAAAUCAGGAGGAGACAUCUAUUACAUACGGAGAAUGUGUUUCAGCAUAUAAACGCGACUUAGUCGGAAAAGAGAUAUUUAUCGUGCUAAUUAAUUGAGGAUAGACGCUUCAUACCGUUACACACCAGACAACUAAGAGUCUGUGCGAAAUCAUCCUGAAUAUAGCCCGAUAAGAUGGAAGAGACUUCAUAAUUCUUUCUUAGGUGGCCUGGCCAUGAAAUUGCAUUGUCUUGCAUUAUGCAGUUAGCGUUAUUAUUCAGUAUUUUAACUUUUGUGAGUAGGGCCAAGCUUUACAUGAUUUUCAGAGUCGUUACUGGGUCGGGGUUCUUAAGGUGACAUACUGGGUUUUACUGCAUUUUUCCCUGGUGAAUGCAAAACCCGGGUCCCUGCCAAUUACCCUUUUUGUACGUGAAGUGAAGACGCUAUGACAUUUGCCGGUGAUGCUCUUAGCGUAUAAAGGAUUACAACCCUCCAAAUUGGAUAAAGCAGCUAGAGACAGGGCUAGAAUAUGCACUUUUAUUGAUCACACCUCGAGGCAUAAGAAUAAACCCUUUGUGCUAUGCCUACCUAGUGACUUGUCACACCACAAUACAGAUUGUCCAGUCUACCGGCUGGGGGAGAUGCAGGAGGAAGGAGGAGGCUAACACGAGGUUGUCUCCACUUUGCAAAGGUCUUUGUAGUUUCCCUUUUGUAAAAACCUAAUUUUUACGUGGGCUUUUUAAAUCGAUAGUUUGUCGGGCGUCACGUAGACUCGUUUUGCUGAAACUUUGGGAACGGGACCGAACCCAUUUUCCUGUGCGCUUGGACCUGCAGAUGGCUGGGGCCCGUGUCCCUGGGGAAACUCCGAGUCUGGAAGGGAGGAACACUGCUCAUCUCUCUCCCUGCCUGCCUGGGAACGCUCCUUGCCUUGUGUUUGUUAGACUCUGCCAUUCAGACCUAUUUUAACUUGUAACAGGGUCACAAAACCAAAUGCCAGUUGCUGCUCGUAGCUGCCGUUUCCCAUCGUUCCAGAAAGCAGCUACUCGCUCUUGGUCUUGUCUGGUAUUAAAGUCUUGAGAAACAGAAUUUUAUUCCACUUUUUUUGGCCGUUCCUUGGGAUGUAAGUGUAGGCUCACAGCCUAUUCCUUGUAUGCCAGCUUAAGCACGUGUCGUUCUUAAGUUAGGCUUCUGGUAGGUGUGUAGUCUGCAAUACUGAGCGUGGUCUGUCAGGCCCUGACCAUAUUUUCAGUUUACACCGAGGGGAAUCUGCCCAUAGCCUUCCUUCCCCUUUCUCAUCACCAUCUUCGUAACAUCCCUGCCUCUUUACUUGUCGCUCAUUUCAGGAGCUGUUGUGUGCCAGUGCUUCUGUUCCCUGGUGCUUUCCCCGGGUACCCACCCUGUCUCCUGUACGUGGUGGAGGACCGGUUUAAGGAGUUGCACGGAGGGCCUCACAGAAGUCCUGUGUGGUCACGGGUUUACAAUGAAGACUUGCAGCUGUGUGUUACUAUUUCUGGGGUGUGCCGUGUGUGAGGUGCAGCUGUCAGAGGAACGCUUUGGAGAUGUCGCUCACGCAGGGAAGCAAAAUUGUUCUGCUCCCCACUACUGAGCUUUAAAGGGUGAUACCUGUGAGACAUCACAUCCCCUGUCCAAACCUGAGCCAUCUGAGCAGGGGAAGUGGCAUGGGAGCGGGGGCCAAGAUACCUGGUUGACAGCCCAGACUGCAAGUUGAAGGCUGCAAUGGAAGCGCUCAGAGUGUGGCCUGUCAGAUUCCAACAAAAUCUGUCAAGUCUUACAUGUAGCUUAUCACAAGGAAAAGAAAAAGAAAAGGACAUGAGCAGGGGCCCAUGUUAGAGUCUUAGUGCAUUGGUCAGCGAUUGGGGGUGAGGGGGUGCAUGUCCCUCCUUCACUGCUUGUGUGUUGACUGUCAUUGUUAAAGGACCAGGGUUGGGGGCGGGGGCAUUCUUGGCUGCUUGGCCAAGUGCCUGGGGGAAGAGCUAGGAGGGAGGGGGAGGUUCAGCAACCCCGGACUGGCCAGGUCUCCCCCUGCCUCCCACAGGGCUGCGCUACCUGCUACUGGCAGUGACUCUGCCUGGAGCAGUUGGCAGGCCCUUGUAAGCAGCCUGCACUGCUUGGGAGAUGUGGGCUGUGACACCUUGGUUUUCUGGACUGUGGUAAGAAAGCAAACAGCCUUGUAGUACAGGCUUCAGUUGUGGGACUGCACCCUGUUGUUGAGACCCCCCCCAGGGGCUUAUUUCUUGUAUGUCCAUGCAGGAUAGUUGGAGGGGUGGGGAAUGGAAGGAAGAGGCAU